This is a long non-coding RNA of Sinocyclocheilus grahami, 357 nucleotides long. RefSeq lists it as uncharacterized. The record is from RefSeq and is a predicted model, not a curated record. NCBI's taxonomy places the organism in Eukaryota, Metazoa, Chordata, Actinopteri, Cypriniformes, Cyprinidae. The transcript is spliced from 3 exons.
GCACUGCGCUGUUCACCUGUGCCUUCUGUCAAGCAAUCGCUGCUCAACUGACUGUAACUCUGAACACCACUGGAGAGAGCACAGGUCUCUGGACUUCCAUGACAGUGCUUCCAUAUCCAUGGGUCCUCUGAUGUUGUCUGAAGGGAACACAGAUGAGUGGAUCCCAGAGAAAGUGAAGGCAUCUGAGGCUUCUCAUCUCUGUGGUUCUCUGAUGCUGUUGCUUGUUCCUCUGAUGAGUUUCCUGACCCUACUUUAAUGUUUUUCUUCAAAUAUAAUGUAAUCUUUUAUAUGCAUAAUUUCUAAUGCCAUUUUAAUGAAUAUUUGAGUGUUUGUAAAUUUCUCCUUGUCAUAAAUGUU